This is a long non-coding RNA of Empidonax traillii (willow flycatcher), 124 nucleotides long. RefSeq lists it as uncharacterized. The transcript is spliced from 3 exons. The record is from RefSeq and is a predicted model, not a curated record. Lineage: Eukaryota; Metazoa; Chordata; Aves; Passeriformes; Tyrannidae.
CAUCUUCUAUCCACAAUGUCUGGAAAAGAGUAUUAAAACAAUGAAUACUUUGGAUAAGUUUUAUCCUUUGUAAUUGCAAGCUGCUCAGGAUCAAGAGCCAAGGCUAAUAGGAUCCAUCAGGGGA